Molecule: long non-coding RNA, 1046 nt
Filed under: Rhinopithecus bieti (black snub-nosed monkey)
Lineage: Eukaryota; Metazoa; Chordata; Mammalia; Primates; Cercopithecidae
Description: lncRNA (ENSRBIG00000046317.1)
Source: RNAcentral
CUCCACCCAUGGCGCGGGCCCGGCCGUCAGGCAAACCCCAGGGCGUCGGCCGCCGCCUCAAAGGCCCCGGCGGGCCCCGCGCCGCGCGCCUUGAGGACGGGCCCGGAGCGUGGGGCCGCGGCGGCGCCGAGUUGAGCGAGUGAGCGCGAGGCAGCGAGACAAAGAUAACCCGGGAGGCGGAGGCGGAGGCGGGGAGCGAGGCGGGGAGCGAGGUGGGGAGAGAGGUGGGGAGAGAGGGGGCGGCGGCGGCGCGGGAGGAGGAGAAACGGGACACCAAAAUAUAUUCUGAGGAGACAGAAAACAGCUCCCCCUUUCCUCCUCAGGCAGGAAAAACCGGCGGAAACGCACUCACACCCCUACCCUGCCGGGGAGGGCGCGGGCCGAGGCGCCCGCGCGGCGUGAAUAUUCAUCAGGGGUGGGGCCCGAACAAUGGCCGGGCCGGCGGGCAGUGCGGGCAGCGGCCCCGACACGACGCCCGGCGCCCAGGGUGCGGCCUCGGCGCUCGACCCCGCACGGCGCUCCCGAAAACAGCAGGAGCGGGGAGGAAACGGGCUGGGAUUUCCCCGGGGAGGAGCUGCGGUGGAGAAACGCCCCUACCUCGCGCUAACAACAAAUGACAUGAAACUGAGCUGGACCGACGCUAAGAGGACAGGGACCCUCGUGUCUCCCAGGACAAGGCUAAUUCUCAGGAUUGACCAGACCAGUGGUCCUCUCUUAUGCUCAGACAUUUAAUAUAUCACAACUGAAAUAGAAUCAUGAGUUGGAACAUCAUGCAUCAGAUCCUGGCCAGUAUGCAUAAGAGCCUUCAUUGAAGAGGAGGUUCAAUCAUAAUCAAGUCGAUCCCUUCAAAAAUGAAUGAACCACAAGGCUCCAUUAGUGAUACUGCACGCUCGCCCAUCCUACUGAUUUACAGUUUUCAGUCAAUUAUAGUGAUUCCAAUCUCAACACCUUCUAAAAUAUGUCCUAUAACAAAAGACUAAGUGGCGACAUGCCAACGAUAAACUAUGAAGUGAAAAUGCCAUAUUUAUAAAUUACAGACUUUGAGG